CUCUAAACUACUACUGGUGGUGUCCACCCAAGAGUUCUACUUGAAAGGGUAAAAUAGGAACAUUCAUGCUAGUAUAAAUGAAGACCCAAAGCCAAAUUUAGGGUUAUCAGCUUGGAAGGGAAGAUGAAUGAGGUUAGCAGAGAGAUUGGGAAUUCUUUUAAGGGUGGUUACCCCUCUCUGUUAAGCCAAUGAUUCACAACGAAAAUUAACAGCCCUUCAGAUCAAGAAACAGCGAUUAAUAUUUUCCUGUUGGCUGUUGACUAACAGAUUCCUAUUAAUAUCUUCCACACACACACACAUACAUCUGCGUUUACGCAUAGGGGCUGUGACGAUGAUUCCUGAUUCUUCUGAGCUGAUGAAUCGGACUUUGAGACGAAAUGGCCCGUAUCUUGGCGGGGCAACCGGAGAUUUUGCAGCCUUGGCGGGGUUAUAGUCUCCUUGUCUGAUUAUAAUUUAUAAGACAGAGAUCUGAGCCUCAAUUUCUUUCACUGCAUAAUUUUUAUUUAUUUUAUUUUUACUUUUUUUCUAAUUUCUUAUAGAUUCAGUAAUUUUAUUUAUUUAUUUAUUUUGAGGGGAAAGAAAAUCUGGUUAAAAAAUUUAAAAUAUUUCAAAAUUAGUUCUGUGGAGACUAGUCAAUUUGUCCAACCAUACUAUAAGUACAACUUUUUGUACAAUCUGGUUGACAAGGGGGCCAAGUGGUGGCUGUCCCUCCAAUAGUAGUAUUAUAUGGAUAUUAUGUAAUUUCUUAUGUAAAUUUUGAUGUACAUAUGGUAAGGUCCUUAAUAAUUUAUCUCACUAGGCCCGUUAAAAACUCUUAACUAAUGUGUUUGGAGGG
Molecule: long non-coding RNA, 835 nt
Filed under: Olea europaea subsp. europaea
Lineage: Eukaryota; Viridiplantae; Streptophyta; Magnoliopsida; Lamiales; Oleaceae
Source: RNAcentral